GCAUAUCAAUAAGCGGAGGAAAAGAAACCAACAGGGAUUGCCUCAGUAACGGCGAGUGAAGCGGCAAGAGCUCAAAUUUGAAAGCUGGCCCCCUCGGGGUCCGCAUUGUAAUUUGCAGAGGAUGCUUCGGGAGUGGCCCCCAUCUAAGUGCUCUGGAACGGGCCGUCAUAGAGGGUGAGAAUCCCGUAUGGGAUGGGGUGUCCGCGACCAUGUGAAGCUCCUUCGACGAGUCGAGUUGUUUGGGAAUGCAGCUCUAAAUGGGUGGUAAAUUUCAUCUAAAGCUAAAUAUUGGCCGGAGACCGAUAGCGCACAAGUAGAGUGAUCGAAAGAUGAAAAGCACUUUGAAAAGAGAGUUAAAAAGCACGUGAAAUUGUUGAAAGGGAAGCGCUUGCGACCAGACUCGCCUACGGGGUUCAGCCGGUAUUCGUACCGGUGUACUUCCCCGUGGGCGGGCCAGCGUCGGUUUGGGCGGCCGGUCAAAGGCCCUCGGAAUGUAACGCCUCUCGGGGCGUCUUAUAGCCGAGGGUGCCAUGCGGCCAGCCCGGACCGAGGAACGCGCUUCGGCACGGACGCUGGCAUAAUGGUCGUAAGCGACCCGUCUUGAAACACGGACCAAGGAGUCUAACAUCUACGCGAGUGUUCGGGUGUCAAACCCGUGCGCGCAGUGAAAGCGAACGGAGGUGGGAACCCUCACGGGUGCACCAUCGACCGAUCCUGAUGUCUUCGGAUGGAUUUGAGUAAGAGCGUAGCUGUUGGGACCCGAAAGAUGGUGAACUAUGCCUGAAUAGGGCGAAGCCAGAGGAAACUCUGGUGGAGGCUCGCAGCGGUUCUGACGUGCAAAUCGAUCGUCAAAUUUGGGUAUAGGGGCGAAAGACUAAUCGAACCAUCUAGUAGCUGGUUCCUGCCG
Molecule: ribosomal RNA, 907 nt
Filed under: Penicillium albidum
Lineage: Eukaryota; Fungi; Ascomycota; Eurotiomycetes; Eurotiales; Aspergillaceae
Description: LSU rRNA
Rfam family: Eukaryotic large subunit ribosomal RNA
Source: RNAcentral